GCGCGUAUGGCGGAAUUGGUAGACGUGCAAGCUUGAGGGGUUUGUGUCCAUAUGGACGUGCUGGUUCGACUCCAGUUACGCGCACAA
This 87-nucleotide transfer RNA is filed under the name Urechidicola croceus. RNAcentral describes it as "tRNA-Leu". It matches the Rfam family "tRNA". From Rfam's summary of the family: Transfer RNA (tRNA) molecules are approximately 80 nucleotides in length. Lineage: Bacteria; Pseudomonadati; Bacteroidota; Flavobacteriia; Flavobacteriales; Flavobacteriaceae. The record is from RNAcentral.